UGGCGGACGGGUGAGUAACGCGUGGGUAACCUGCCUUGUACAGGGGGAUAACAGUUGGAAACGGCUGCUAAUACCGCAUAAGCCCACGGUACCGCAUGGUACUGAGGGAAAAGGAUUUAUUCGCUUUAGGAUGGACUCGCGUCCAAUUAGCUAGUUGGUGAGGUAACGGCCCACCAAGGCGACGAUUGGUAGCCGGACUGAGAGGUUGAACGGCCACAUUGGGACUGAGACACGGCCCAG
RNAcentral lists this ribosomal RNA (240 nucleotides) under uncultured bacterium. RNAcentral's name for it is "partial 16S ribosomal RNA". It matches the Rfam family "Bacterial small subunit ribosomal RNA", at positions 96 to 334 of the family's 1533-position model. The record is from RNAcentral.